UAGAAGGUAGUAUAGCGGAAGUAUAGAGAGUUUUGGGCUUUCUGGUUCAAGUUCGAGUCUUAGUUUUCUAG
This 71-nucleotide transfer RNA is filed under the name Fowlea piscator (Checkered keelback). Its description in RNAcentral is "tRNA-Gln". It matches the Rfam family "tRNA". From Rfam's summary of the family: Transfer RNA (tRNA) molecules are approximately 80 nucleotides in length. Their secondary structure includes four short double-helical elements and three loops (D, anti-codon, and T loops). The record is from RNAcentral. Lineage: Eukaryota; Metazoa; Chordata; Lepidosauria; Squamata; Natricidae.